RNAcentral lists this ribosomal RNA (408 nucleotides) under uncultured bacterium. Its description in RNAcentral is "partial 16S ribosomal RNA". It matches the Rfam family "Bacterial small subunit ribosomal RNA", at positions 28 to 526 of the family's 1533-position model. The record is from RNAcentral.
GACGAACGCUGGCGGCGUGCUUAACACAUGCAAGUCGAACGAAGUGGCGAACGGGUGAGUAACGCGUAAUCAACCUGCCCUUCAGAGGGGGACAACAGUUGGAAACGACUGCUAAUAACGCAUACUGAAGGAGGGGAUUGCGUCUGAUUAGCGAGUUGGAGGGGUAACGGCCAACCAAGGCGAUGAUCAGUAGCCGGUCGGCAGGGAUGAACGGCAACAUGGGGACUUAGACACGGCCCAGACUCCUACGGGAGGCAGCAGUGGGGAAUCUGCCGCAAUGGACGAAAGUCUGACGGAGCAACGCCGCGUGUGCGAUGAAGGCCUUCGGGUUGUAAAGCACUUUUGGCAGGAAAGCGGUACCUGCAGAAUAAGCACCGGCUAACUACGUGCCAGCAGCCGCGGUAAUAC